RNAcentral lists this long non-coding RNA (16916 nucleotides) under Olea europaea (common olive). Its description in RNAcentral is "long non-coding RNA (OEUR_LNC001975)". The record is from RNAcentral. Lineage: Eukaryota; Viridiplantae; Streptophyta; Magnoliopsida; Lamiales; Oleaceae.
UCCAGUCUGUCUUCACUAGCCCGCCUUGUGUUGCCCAAUCGUCUGCAUUCCAUAAGGUGCAGUACACUCUCAUGGGAUGGCUCUUUGGAAACGGAAUGCCAAUUGCUUCAUGAUUGUUGAACAAUCUAAUAGGACUAUUGUCCACCAAGAAACUGAAUUUCACCAAGUGCGGAUUAAUGAAAAUGAGAUACAACGGAUUUAUAGUUACAUGAUGCGCCGAGAAUUCCACACAAUUGAGUAGGUGUGGGAAGCUGCUGCCAGAUCGAACCAGAGAUGGAAUUGUUGUUCCUUGUUCCCUUUUCCUUGGGAGUACACAUUGGUAUGAACAGUGUUUGGCUAUACAGACGUAUUGCCAAGAAACUCGAAGUCAAAUUGACCAUGACCAUCUCCUUGAGACGAUAACUGCACAUGGAGCCAAACAAUUUAAUGAUCAAUUUAACUAACCAUUCUUUAAAUAAGUUUGAGGUUAUCCCCAAAUUGAAGGACAGCUAAAGACUUACGAAAAAAGUGGUCACGGUUCCAGCUGAGUUUCAAGGAACAAGUUUGAGUUGCAUGUCGAAUCUUCCAAACAAGUAUUCGUUCUUGGACUGAAAUCCAGAACCAGAAUACUGGUCAGCUGACAACGUCAACAUGCUUCCACCCUCGACUACCUUUCCACGCCCGUCACCCCAAGUAAUAUCAGCAUCUCGGUAGAAGUUACCAGCUGUAGGGAUUGUGAAACAGGCCAGGACCACCGAAAGUGAAAGCGUCAAUAAAUUUGCUAAAGCUUUAGAAUUAGAAAAGACUGUUAUUUCGAGAAGAAUAAUUCUCCCUGUCCCGGGUUGGGAGCAGGGUUCUUUCGAGAAGAACAGAUAGACUGUGUGUUUGUUUUGAUGAGUGAGAGUCGGAUUCUGAAAACCCUUUAUACAUAGAUUUUGCACUCCCCUUUUGAAAACUGUCAACUAAGCUGGACGCCAUGGAUUGAGAGAUGGCCAAGAUUAAUUGUUUCCGCGCAAGGUUUGAGCCUUUAUUAUCUCUGGCAUGGGUCCACCCUGAGAGGUUCUUUUUAUUUUUGUAGGCGGUGCUUGGAUCAAAAUAUACCAACCACGAUUACAUUGUUCAAAAUUAUUGAGUUAUAUACGCAACUUAACCGAAAAUUAUGAUACAAAAUUAAAUCUCGUAUUUGAUUCUUAAAUCUCAUUAUGCAAUAUAAUUAUUAUUUUUUUUAAAGAUAAUAAUUUAAUUAGGCAUCAUAUUUUGUAUUUUCAGUGAACCUUCUCGUUUAGAUAAUUAUAAUGCAAGCCACAUUUACAUGUCAAAUCGAUUAGGCUGUCUUUUCAAGUUACGGUUUGGUCCUUAUAUAUUAUUGUUAUUAUUAUUUUAAAUUUAGUACUACUUAAAAUGUAUUUUCAUUUUCAAUUGUUAGAAAAUAAUUUAUAAAUAUUAUUUAUUAGCAGUAGUAGAUGUACGGCUAUUGUUAGAAAUUUAUACUAAAACCAAGAAACUCUUUUUGUUUUAUGUUUGAUUUUUGUUUUUGUUUUUGCGAUUGUUGAUACUAAGGUCUAGCUCAAGUAUAAAAUCGAAGUCUUACCGAGUCAGUGAUUAGAGUUUCCUCUUAGUUAUCGGGUGAAAUAUGUAUUAAAAAAAAAAAGUCUUGUUGCCAUUGAAUUUCUUAAGUGUUUCUAAGAAUCUAGUAAAUUAGCUUGCAAUAGGUUGAACCUUGAAACUCUAGACAAUAUUGAAAGAAUUACUGUUUAGUCUCAAAAUUUAAAUUAUGUGUGACAAAGGUCUAAAACUAUUGGAAUUUUUUAUAGAAGCGUGAUAAUUAAUUCUAUUAUUGAGGAUGAAAAAAAUAAUAAAAAGAUAUAGUUGGUGUACUUGCAAUAAUUGAUAGUAUCCACACAAGAAGCCUUCUUGUGUGUAAUAUGAUUUCAAUAGGAGAUAGCUACGAUGAAUAAUAAAUAAUAACGAGAAUUAGGAGUUAAAUGUUUCAUUAGUUGUUGAACUUGUACCUUUGUUACGUUUUACUUACUAAACUUUAAAAUGCUUUCAACUAGCCAUUGAACUUUAACACGUAUCUCUUACUCACAAUUUUAUAUAGAUCAUUGAACUUUAAAAUAUUUUCAAGUGAUCAUUGAAUUUGAACACAUUGCACUCCAUCACUCACUCACUAUAUUUUAAUAGUCACUGAACUUAUAUCUAUAUCAUGCUUUACAAACUGAACUUUAAAAUGCUUUCAAGUGAUCAUUGAAUUUCAUAAUAUUUUUUUAGUAAAGUUUAUUUUAUAUGAUAUUCAACUUAGAUCAAGAAAAUAAAAUAAAUAUCAACUAGAUAAUGAGUUCUCAAUCUAAGAUGGAGAGUAUUGAUAUUGAUCAAGAAGACAUGAUUUCUCUAAUCGUCGAAAGCUAUGUUCAAGAGGAAAAUAGAAUACUAGCUUCAAAUUAACAUAAACUUUAAUUUAGAUCAUACUCUUCUUUUAUGUCGAGAAAAUAAAAUAAAUAAAUUAUCUUUUAUCCUAAUUGAAAUCGUAGACUGAAAUCAAGAAAAUAAGAAAAAUUAUAUUUCAAACAAACAAUGAAAUUUUCGAUUUAGAAUUAAUAAUAUUAAUCAAGAUGAACAAAAUAUAAUUUUUAGAGUUUUCACAACGUAAUUCAAGAGGAAAUAAGGGUGCUGUCUUCAUUUAUGUUAUUUUAUACUUCAAAAUUUUUAAUUUUUGAACAAGUGACCUCAGCGAGUAAAGUCAGUGACCGCUUGAAAGCAUUUCAAAGGUUGACAGAUGAAGUGUGACAGAGAUAUAAGUUGACAAAGUAAUGAAAGAAGUGAGUAAGUGAUGGAAUGUAAUGUAUUCAAUUUUAGUGAUCACUCAAAAAUAUUUUUAAAGUUCAGUAACUAAUGAAACAUGGUGAAUGAGUGAAUAAGAGAGGGUAGUGUGUUAAAUUUUAGUGACCAUUGUGAAGUAUUUUGAAAUUCAGUGUCUAAAGUGUAAUGGAGGUAUAAGUUCAGUGACUAAUGACACACUUAACUUUGAGAACUCGUGAUUGAAUUGAAUAUAUGUUCAAAAUGAAUAAAGAUGGUAAAAGUUACAGUUCCUCAAAUUUGCAAAACAUGGUACCUCAGUCUUCAUUCUCAUUUUCGUGGCACAUCCAUCCCCAAACUUUUAGAAGUGGUGCAAGUUGCUCUCAAUUAGAUGAAAAUCAUUCAUUUUGUCCUUAAAUCCUUUCAUGCCUUCCAUGUGGGUUACAUACCGAUCAACAAAUUCGGCAAUUAGUAGUCCAUGUUUUAUUUCCUGUUAUCCGACAAUUGGUUAUAAUUAAAGGUCUCACCAACAAUUUUGGCUUUCUGUAACUUUAAAGAACAACAUAUGCUCCAAAAGAUGUUAUAAAAAUGAGCAGAGUGGUCUUUUAGUAAUAUACGAUUACAAAAUUAGACAUAAUCAGCAACGACUAAUGUUAGCCGUCAUGAAAGUAUUCCUUGAUGGCUAAAAUAUUAGUUGUCUUAGAUUUUUUAAUUUUUAUUUUUUUAUAAUGGUUAAUUAAAAUAUGUGUUUUACAUGUCUAUUCUGACUUAUAAGCUUGAUAUGUAUUUGUAAAUUAAGUUAAUUUCUACUUAAUUUAAUGUGUUAGAGUUGUGACUCAAAUAGGAGUUGUAAUUCAAUUGCGUGUUGUUGGUUUGGAAAGGAGUAUAACUGCAUUCAACAAUAAGGAAACAAAAUCUCGUUGAAAUUGGGUCUCCUAAUUAUAAUAUAUUUUCUCACCAUUUAGGACUCUUAUAGGGUUUGAAACAUGGCCUAUAAAUAUAAGACUCAUCUAUCAGCUUUGUUUAAGCAUUAUUGUUGUGUCUGUAAUUUCUCUCCAUAUUGUCAGUUUAUAAUAUAUCGUUUCUCUACGAUAAAUUCUCUUUGUUUAUUUAUUUACUUUCUAAUUUUGUUUUUGGUUGUAACCUUUAUUACUUCACAUCGUCAUUAAAUCUCAUUUUUUACAAUCUUUUGGGAUCAACAAGUGGUAUCAGAGCUUGGUUCUUCUUCUAUGGAUUGGUUGAUGUUUUUUCAGAUAUGACUACCAUGAAAUAUGACAUUCUACUAUUGGAUCGCAAUAGAAGAUUUUCUUUUUGGCAAGUAAAGAUGAGGGUUAUUCUGGCGCAGUUGGAUUUGAAUGAUGCGCUGCUAGGUUUUAAGAAUAUGCCAGCUGAUUAGGCAACAGAAGAUAAAUAACGGAAGGAUUGGAAGGCUUUAUCGUAGAUUCAUCUUCAUUUAUCCAACAAUAUUCUGCAGAAUGUCUUGAAGGAAAAAACAGUGGCUGCCUUGUCGUUGAAAUUAUAGCAGUUUUGCAUGACUAAAAGUCUCAUGAGCAAAUCGACUCUAAAGUAGAAGCUAUAUUCUCAUUGCAUGGCGGAAAGAGGGUCACUGGAGGACCAUACUGCUGUGUUUAACGAAAUAGUUGCAGAUCUGGAGACGUUGCAGGUUAAGUAAGAUGAAGAGGAUUUGACCUUGAUCAUGUUGUGUUCACUGACUCUUAUGCAUCGUUUUGGGACACCAUUUUGUAUAGUCGGGAUAUUUUGACUAUAGACGACGUCUAUGAUGCUUUGCACUCAAAGAAGAAGUUGAAGUAAUUGGUUGGAGCUACAUUGAGGGAUGAGGAAGUUCUUAUAUCUCAUGGUGGUCGACGGAGGGGUAGAUCAAAGAAUAACAACAAUUUGUUUUGCUUCUAUUGCAGGCUAGGGGAUAUAUUCAGAAAGAUUGUGAUAAGUUUCAUGCUAAAGGUAAUUUAGUUGCAAAUCAUGGAGCGCAACCUUUGACUUUAGACGAAACAAUUGUAGUUGAGGAUUUUUGAGACGAUGGAGAUGUGAUGAUGACUGUGAUAGCUGACGUGGAAUCUAGGCUUGACGAGGAGUGAAUUCUUGAUUCGACAUGUUCGCAUCAUAUGUGUUCCAAUCGAAAUUUUUUCAGACAUAUAAGGCUGUUCAGCAAGGUGGCGUUGUAAUGGAAAAUAACUAGUCUUGCCAUAAUGCUGGGAUUGGUCAAGUUAGUUUAGGUUGCGGAAUGGGACAAUCAGAACAAUUGAUCAGGCUCGACAUAUUUCAGACCUGAAAAUGAAUCUUAUUUCGCUUAGUACUCUGGAUGUAAAAUGAUAUAAAUUCUCUAGUGAAAGUGGAGUCUUGAAAGUUCGAAAGGGUGUCCGGGUUGUACUAGAAUGACGAAAAAUGUCUCAGUUGUACAUCUUACAGGGGAGUGUAGAACCAGUUAAGAGACAUAUGGAUAAGUUUAGUACUGUGGUGGAUAUUCAAUUUGGUACAGUACCUCUUGUGACGAGUUCUACGUAGGUUUAGAACAUUGCUCGAGGGUGCGUUGAUGAUUCUGCUUUGCCACUAAUUUCAACGGCUGUACUGUGUUCAGUUGCUAGGAUUGGAUCCAUUGAGCGUAGGUAUCGUGGUGUCAGUGGUGUCUGUAAUGUUUUUGGAGACAUUAAAGGCGACAGUUCUAACAAGGGACCUUCUGUUUAGGCAUUUUGUAUGAUUUCUGUUACAGGGUGUGCUUCUACCCUGUUUCGUAAACAUUAAUUACUUAGUAAAUUUUUGGGAACUUGGGAGUAGGGUUUAGGUUUCGCUUGUGGACGCUGUGCGAAGACGAUGGUUUAUAUGGAGAGUUUUAGUUAUUACAUUGAGGAGAUUUGCCAUUUCAUUUCGACGCAAAUGUGUUUAUUUCUCAGGUGAAGAAAUUUUGUGGAGCUCUACUCAUUGCAAGGAAAUUUGAGUCAAGGUGGAGAUUUUUAGAGUUGUGACUCAAAUAUGAGUCUUGAAUAACAUGUUGUUGGUUUUGGAAAGGAGUUUAAUUGCAUUCAACAAUAAGGAAACAAAAUUCAGUUGAAAUUGGGUCUCCUAAUUGUAAUAUAUUUUCUUUCAGAGUAUUGGGUACUAUUGGAUCUCUCUCUCACUCCAAAAGCUCACCCCAAAAGCUAGCUCAUGAGGUGAAGCUUUUUCUCAUACUUAUAAACUGAAUACCAAUUCUAUCCACAGCCGAUGUGGGAUAAUCUCAACAUAAUGUCUGUCAUCGUAAAUUAAAAAAAAAAAAAGAUCCAAAGUUGGAAGUACUUCGAGUAAAAAAAUAUACAUAUAUUUCAAGAUAAAUUGGAGAUGGUCUGAAGCAAUUAUAUUAAGAAAGCAAUUGGAGGAAAUUUACUAAUUUUAAGAGUGAAAUUCAAAUUACAAGAAGUCUGGGACUAAUUGCACACUUUCGGAACUUAAGGAAGACCAAUUUUGGAUGACUAUGGAGAUUCGUGGACCAAUGUCUUUGGAGUUGUGAGAUUAAUAUUAAAGAUUUGGAUUGAAAAGGAAAAAAAUUCGUUCAAUAAAAGCUUGAAGCAGGGACCAAAAUGCAAAAAGAGAAAAUUGGAGGAUUGCAACUGCAGGCUACCCGUGGUCACCUUAAAGGGGCUAGCCGUGGUUCGAUCGCAUUAUGCAAGCCGCAGUCCAAUCGUCUAUAUAGUUGUUUUUCACUAUUAUUUUAAUUGCGGGUAUUUUGAUCCUUUUGUGCACAAGGUUUUCAAGGCAAACAAGACACUAUAUAGAGACCUAAUUUAGGUCAAAUUAAGGGAGAAGAUGCAAGAGAAUGCAUGGAGAAAGAAUAUAGAACAAAAUAGUGAAUCGAACAUAAGUUAUCAAGAUAUUAACGUGAAAAAGACAGAUUCUUGGGGUGAUUUUUCAUAUUUUUCUAUUUUUAUACUUUUAUAAUGGUAAUUUUUUCAUACAUUUUUGUGUUUAAUUUCAAUUUUCAAGUUUUGCUUUUGAUUUUACGAUUACUGAACGUAGGGUUUUUUUGAUUGCAAGAAUAAAAUAUGGGUGGAAAGAAAACAAAUUUUAGAGAAUUGAAUUACUUAGAACCUGUUUGAUUAGGAAUUGUCAAUUAAUUAUUUUUGAUUCGUAUAAUUUUUCAUCUAGAUAAUGUUGAAAUUUCCAUCUUUUUGUGCUUGUUUGACUUUAUUUUUCAAAAAAUUGUAUUUUUUUGCCAACUAUUGGUGUUUGCCGUCUGUUUCCAAAUAAACAAUUUACCUAAUCAAGUAAAAAGAACAUCAAGCUAUUUCAAGUUUCAAAUUCCAUAAAAAAAAAAAAUAAUAAUAAUAAUAAUAACGCAUAUUCAUUCACAUAAAUUAAGCUUUCUACAAAUAUGAAGCAAAUUACAAGCAUUUACCCAACCCUUCAACUCCCAAAGGAAAAAAAAAAAAAAAAAAAAAAUGGAAUCACCAAAGGAAAAAAAAAAAAAAAAAAAAAAAAACGGUAUACACUACUUGCAAAUAUUAUUUUUAUGCAAGCCUUACGAAAUUGGAGAUUUUGAAGGGAAAAAAGAGAUACACAGAGAGAUGAGAUCGGAACCAAAGAGCAUGCACCGUUGGUAUUGAUUACAAUUGCAUUCUUUUUCCACGAUUACUUUUUCUUGCAGGUUUUCAAUUUCGGGAGCUUCUAUGUUUUCUUGGUUGCAAUCCACGCACUCCUCCCCUUCAACGAUAGGGUUAUGUGGACAUUUUUUGUUUGACAUCGUGGGUAUUCCAAAAAUGGGGCAGUUCUGGGUGAGAAAUGGGAAAGUGAUGUGAGAAGAAAGAGAAAGGGAAAUAGGGUUUGACGUGAGAAGAAGUGGGUUUGUUUCAAUCGCCUAGAAAAUAAAAAACCAGCUCACCCGUGGGAAUUGCAUUUCCUCAUUUUUGUGGAAUAAAGGGUAACGUGAGUGAAAGUGAGAAAAGCAAUUGUCAAGAAAAUAUUUCCUAUCAAAUAGGCUAAAAAGUGGAAAAUGGUGGAAUAAUUUCCAUCUUCCAUGGAAAAUUUGGCCUAUCAAAUUGGGCCUUAGUUAAUUUAUUAAUAUGACAAAUUAAUUUAUGAAUGUAACAAACCGAGAGGUGCUUAUAUAUUUAGACCAUAUGAUAAAAUUCGAUAAUUGAGUAAAAGCAAUGUACACAUUUACUAAUUUUGAGAUCUUUAGUUGAAAUCUUAGAUUGAUUUAACACGUAUAGUUGUGACUUAUUUAGAUUUAUAUAGACAUAUAGUAAGUUGACUCAAUUAGAUAAGGUUGAUUUCAACCAGAGAUAUUGAUUUAAUUAGUAAGUUCAAUCAAGUAUACAGCUAUAAAACUGAACUCGUGAGGCGAGAUUAAAAAUGAUAAUUAUAUAUGGUGAAAUCGUGAAACACAAACUUCGAUAAUCAUAUUUAUUAGCUUAAUCAAAGUUAUCCAUAAUCUAUAAAACCAAUUUUGUUUAUUUGCUUUUAUAUUUCUUAAUUAAUAUUAGUUCAAUCAAAACUUUCCAUGAAAUUUUCACCAUAUUGUAGAAAUUAAUAAAAUUAUGGAAAACGUUUGGAUAAAUUUUCAACAGACAAAGAAUGCCUGUCGUUAAAUAAGUUAAUAAAUUAUAAAAAACUGAAUAGUACUUAGAAAACAUUCACUAAAAAUUCGGAAUUAUUUUUUAGUUAGUAAUAUCAAAUUAUAAAUAAUUUUAUAAAUUUGAUUUGGCGAUGAAAAUUUCUUCGAAAUAUAAUUAAUAAAAAUACAGAAUGACAAUAUUAUCGUGAAAUGAACCAUGUGUAGUAUCAUUUAUCCUUAUUAUUCCAAUCAAUACAAUCACAUUUGACUAAAAGGAAUAAGAAAUGAUGAAUUCACACAAACAUAAAAUUAAUCACUCAACAUCGAUGAAACAACAAACCAUUCCGCCACAAAUUUCCUAGAAUCUUGAACGCUUGCAUUCCUCAGAGAAGCCUUGAGGAAACCUUUGAACAUCAGCACAGUAGUUAUAGACCAUGUGGUGCUGCUGUACCCAACGGAGCCUAUUUCUUCCCUUUGCAUCAAGUUGUUGUGUUUGCCAUGCUCCGGAAUUGGCACAAGAUCUACCGGAUGUUCCGGAUACACAGCCAUUGGCAUUAAAGUUUCUGUAGUAUACAGUGAAAGGCGCUUUUGUCCAGUCCGUCUUCACUCGCCCGCCUUGUGUUGCCCAAUCGUCUGCAUUCCAUAAGCUGCAGUACACUCUCAUGGGUUGGCUCUUAGGAAACGGAAUGCCAAUUGCCUCGUGAUUGUUGAAUACUCUAAUAGGACUAUUGUCCACCAAGAAACUGAAUUUCACCGACAGAAUUAGUAAUGAUAUGCGCAGAUAAGUUAAGGAUAAAUGAAAAUAAGAUUCGAGGGAUUUUUAUUUACAUGAUGCGUCGAGGAUUCCACACAAUUGAGUAGGUGUGGAAAGCUGCUGUCGGAUCGAACCAGAGAUGGAAUUGCUGUUCUUUAUUUCCUUUCCCUUGGGAAUACACAUUGGUAUGAACAGUAUAUGGCAGUCCAGAUGCAUUGCCAAGAAACUCGAAGUCAAUUUCAUCAUGACCAGCUCCUUGAGACGAUAACUGCUCAUGGAAUUCAACGAUCAAUUAUUCAACAAACAAACUAAGCAUUAUUUGAAUAAGUUUGGGGUUAUAUCCAAACUGAUGGACAACUGAAGACUUACAAAAAAAGUGGUUACGGUUCCAGCAGAGUUUCCAGGAACAAGUUUGAGUUGCGUGUCAAAUCUUCCAAACAAGUACUCAUUCUUGGACUGAAAUCCAGAACCAGAAUACUGGUCAAGUGACAACGUCAACAUUCUUCCACCUUCGAAUAUCUUUCCACGCCCGUCACGCCAAUUAAUAUCAGCAUCUCGGUAGAAGUUACCAGCUGCAGGGAUUGUGAAACAGGCCAGGACUACAGAUAGUGAAAUCAUCAAUAAAUUUGCUAAAGCUUUAGAAUUAGAAAAGAAUGUCAUUUCUAGAAGAAGAGAUAGAAUGUGUUUGUUUUUGAUGAAUGAAAGUUGGAUUCUGAUAACCCUUUAUAUAUAGAUUUUGCACUCCGCUGUUGGAAGCUGUCAACUAAGCUGGACGCCAUGGAUUGAGAGUUGGCCAAGAUUAAUUGAACAAACUCAAGACAUAAUUAUUUCUCCGCGUAAGGUAUGAGCCUUUAUUAUCUCUGGCAUGGGUCCAACCUGAGGGGUUCUUUUUAGGCGGUGCAUUGAUCAAAAUGUACCAACCACGAUUACAUUGUUCAAAAUUAUUGAGUUAGAAAGAUAUAUGCAACUUAACUGAAAAUUAUGAUACAAAAUUAAAUCUUGUAUUUGAUUCUUAAAUCUCAUUAUGCAGCAUGAUAAUUUUUUUAAACAUAAUAAUUUAAGUAGGCAUCAUAUUUUGUAUUUUCCACGAACCUUCUCAUUUAGAUAAUUGUGAUACAAGCAAGAAUUGGGGUGGCCGAGUUGGUGAAGUAGGUGGGCAUGGAGGCCUUUGAUCACGAGUUUGAUUCCCUCUACCAAGACUUUUUCGAUCGAGUCUAUCGCACCGGGCUUGUUUAGUGCGAUUUACUUAACUGGUGUGGUUUGCAAGCUGUUGCAUCAACCUGAAGGUUUACCUAGUGCGCAUUUGAAGGACAGCGGCUGUGGGUUCCUCCGUCAUAAAAAAUAAAAAUAAAAAUUAGACAUUUACAUGUCAAAACUACUAGGCCGUCUUUUCAUAUUACGGUUUGGUCAUGGCUAUAUAUAUAUAUUACAUAUAUUCGUAUAUGUACAUAUCUACGUAUAUAUACAUAUUCUAUUUUUUUUUUUUAAAUUUAGUACGAUUUAAAAUGUAGUUUCAUUUUAAAUUGUUAGAAAAUAAUUUAAAAAUAUAAUUUAUUAGCAGCAGUUGAUGUAUGCCCAUCAUUAGAUUUUACAAUUAAAAUCAAGAAACUCAUUUUUUUUCCCCCGAUCAUUGAUACUGAGGUCUAGCUCAAGUAUAAAAUCAAAGUCUUACCAAGUCAGUGAUUAGGGUCGCCGCUCAGUUACGGGGAGAAAGGGUGAAAAUAAAAUAAAUGAAGGUCUUGUUGCCAUUGAAUUUCUUGAAUGUUUCUAAGAAUAUAGUAAAUUAGCUGGCAAUAGUUAGUACCUUGAAAUUCUAGACAAUAUUGAAAGAAUCACUGUUCAGUCACCUCAAAAUUCAAAUUAUGAGUGACAAAGGUGUAAAACUAUUGGACAUUUUUUUAGAUAAGCGUGAUAAUUAUUUCUAUUAUUGAAGAUGAUAUAGUUGGUGUAUACUUGCAAUAAUUGAUAGGAUCCACACAACAAGCCUUGUUGUUUAAUAUUAUUUCAAUAGGAGAUAGCUACGUGGAAUAAUAAAUUAUAAGGAGAAUUAGGAGUUAAAUGUUUCAUUUGUUGUUGAACUUAUACCUUUGUUACGUUUUUCUUGCUUAACUUUAAAAAGUUUUCAACGGAUCAUUGAAUUUUAACACGUUGUACUUCAUCUUCCACUCACAAUGGUAUAUAUGUCACUGAAUUUUAAAAUAAACUCGAGUAAUUGUUAAAUUUUAACACAUUGCACUCCAUCACUCACUUAUUAUGUUUCUGUUGACCUCCGAAAAUGGCCAACAUGUGUCGUUCGAAGAUAAGAUACACGUAGAUGUAUUUUGUAAUAUGUUGACUGAAAAUGUGUACGUUUGUGGAAGAAGGAGAUGGAAGGGACAAUUUUAUGAAGAAAUAUGCGUGUGUGUGUACUGUUUUCUUUUAUGUUCAAAGAUCCAUCCCUCUAAAUGAUACAAGAACCAGCUAUUUAUAGUGAUUAGGCCGACUUGGUUAUAGUUGGAUCCGAUCAACAUGGCCUGAUUUACAAGAUCCUGGCAUUGCAUCAAUUCUAUCUCACAUUAAUUAUAAUGGCAGACAUUUGACAAGGGGAUAGCCACUCUACAUACCUUGGCGUCGCAUCAAUUCUAUCUCACAUUAAUUAUAAUGCCAGACAUUUGACAAAGGGUUAGUCACUCUACAUCCCUAUGCUAACAUUCUUAACAUUUAUUUAAUAAGAACGUCACAUCAAUCAAUCCCUAAGAUACGCUUAUCAGACCCUCUUUUGGGAAUUAAGGACUUCGGAAGUUAUAGGGUUUGGACUAAGGAAGUAACCCCACUUCGGAUGAACAUAGGCUAGGACCACUUUGGAGAAUUCUAGUAAAAUGACCUCAACACUCAAUGCAACAACCUCGGCCAUUGAACUUAUCUAUGACUCUUCUUUUACUUGACCCAAUGCCACGUGUGUGACUAUGGAGCUUCCACGUGGACCUCAUAAGAUUGCUAUGUAUGAUCAGAAACAGUUUCAAUACUCACUGAACCUAUAACUCCAUCACGCUUUACACACUGAAUUUUAAAAUGCUUUUGAAUAUCAUGAUAUCUUCGAGUAAAGUUGGUUUUUUAUGAGAUUCAGUUUUGAUCAAGAAAAGAAAAUAAAAUAGAUAUCGACUAGAUAAUAAGUUCUAAAUCUGAGAUGAGAAUAUUGAUAUUGAUGAAGAAGACAUGAUUUUUCUGGCUGUCAAAGCUAUGUUCAAGAGGAAAGAACAAUACUAGCUUCAAAUUAACAUAAAUUUUAAUUUAGAUCAUACUCUUCUUUUACGUCGAGAAAAUAAAAUAAAAAAAUUAUUUAUUUUAUUCCGAUUGAAAUCGUAGACCCAAAUCAAGAACAUAAAAAAUUAUAUUUCAAACAGAUAGUGAAAUUUUCGAUUUAGAGUUAAUAAUAUUAAUCAAGACAAACAAAAUAUAAUUUUUAAAGUUUUCACAAGGUAAUUCGAGAGGAAAUAAGGGUGCUGUCUUCAUUUAUGUUAUUUUAUAUUUCAAAAUUUUUAAUUUUUGAACACGUGAGCUCAGUGAGUAAAGUGAGUGACCACUUGAAAGUAUUUUAAAGUUUAACGAAUAAAGUGGGAUGGAAUAUAAGUUGAGUAAAUAAUGAAAGAUGGUGAGUGAGUGAUGGAAUGUAAUAUGUUAAAUUUUAAUGAUCACUUGAAAACAUUUUUAAAGUUCGAUGACUAAUGAAACAUGGUGAAUGAGUGAGUGAUAGAGAGUAGUGUGUUAAAUUUCAGUGACCAUUGUGAAGCAUUUUUAAGUUCAGUGUCUAAAGUGUACAGUUACUAAUGACACACUUAACUUCGAGAACUAGUGAUUGGAUUGGAUAUGUUCAAAAUGAAUAAAGAUGGUGAAAGUUGUAAGUGUUAUGCCCUAGAUCCAAUCGAUUUAGGUUGUAAACGCUUUUAAUAUAUUUAAUGCAUUUGAUUUUGGCGAGAUCUAUUAUUUAUUUAAAUCAAUUUUGUAAUAAAUAAUAUUAAAUAAUAGAAUCCGAAGAUCCAAUUUUAGGUAAUCUGUUAAUCACAAGGAGUUGUGAUUGUGAGAUACAAAUUACAUAUAAUUGGAUCUUGAAUAAAUCAUGGUCAUAAGUAAUAACGAGAUACGGAUAUCGUUAAUACAGUUAGACCAUCACGUGUGACAUUUCUUACUUGUGAAGUAAGUAGCUGAUCUCACGAGCUAAAGUGUGGUGACACUUAAAUGAACACGUGAAUGUUUUGUUAUAGAACAAAACAUUGGAGACCCGCUAAGAGAUUCCACAUGGAUAACUAUCUGAGUGUCAGUGGCUAAUCUCUAACGUUCGGUAGUGGAAUUGAUCCUUUGACUUGAGGUCGUCAUAGUACCCUAUAUGAGGGCAGUCAUACUUUGGCGGUGUUGGAUGUUGCUCUGAAAGGGGCCGCAAAUACGACAUCGUUCGGGUACGUCAAGAAUCGUAUGAAAGUUGUGAUUGAUCAAUAAAGGAUUCGUCACUCUUAGAUAGUAGGAGAUUAUGAUCAGCGUUUCAUUCAAUUAAGUCGAUGAUGAAAUCCUUGGCCAAGGUGUACUCAUAAGUCGAAAAGGAGUUUUCGAUUUAUAUUGACUUAAUAGUGGAAUGAAAGAUAUGAUCAAUGAUCGAGAUUGACACAAUUCCAUAUCUCGUAAUUGAUCGGAUCGUAUUGACGAAGGGAUAAUAAUUUCACGGUAAACGAACGAAUUUGGUUUUGUCAUACCACGUGACAUUUCCCGUCACAUGUAUUGCCCUGACACAUUGCUAGAUAUCAAUCAGGGACGGCGAAUGUGAAUUGACGAUAAAUUAAAAGGGUGUAUUAAUUUAUCAAUUUUGAUUAGAUCAAAAUAAUAUUUCACGACGUUAGGUAUCGUGGUCGGGAACCUAAUGGGUCGCACACAAAAGGGAAUUGGAAGACUGUAAAUUGUCAAUUGAUUAAUUUAACAAUCGUUGGAUAAAUUAAUUAAUUGAAUUUGCUAUUUAUAAUCCCGAAUUAAUUAAUUGGAUUAAUUAAUUCACAGACCAGGUUUGAUUAAUUGGAUUAAUUAAAUAUUGGACCGGGCCGGGUCCGUUUGGGUUUAUAUAUAUACACAGCUAGGGUUUGAGGUCCAUAAGUUAUUCAUUAUUCUUGCUGGCACAAGAAAGAAACCCUAGCAGUUGCAGUCUACUCUCUGUGUGGAUUUCAUUGGAGGCUGGACUAUUGGACAGCUGUGGGAGGCAGAUUCAAGCUGCUGGAAAGGAAUAACGCGAAGGAGUUUGCAAAUCACAAGUAAAGGUAUAUUUCUCAUCACAGUUUUUAUCUAAAUACAAAGUUGAAUCCUGAAUGGGAAUUGAAAUUUGUUAAAUUCCGCUGUGCAUGUUUAAGUAAAUUCCCAACAAAAGUUACAUGCUAGUUCCUCAAGUUUUGCAAAAUGUGGCACUUCAGUCUUCAUUCUCAUUUUCGUGGCACAUCCAUCCCCAAACAACAACAACUAAUGUUAGCCGUCAUGAAAGUAUUCGUUGAUGGGUAUAAGAUUAGUUGUCUUAGAUUUUUUUUCCCCGGUUAUUUGAUAUAUAUGUGUUUUGCAUGUUUAUUCUCACUUAUAAACUUGAUAUAUAUUUGCGAAUUAAGUUAAUUUCUACACAAUUUUAAUGUAAAUCUAGUCAUCGUAAGUAAAAAAAUCCAAAGUUGGAAGUACUUGGAGUAGGGAAAAAAAAUUUAUUUCAAGAUAAAUUAGAGUUGGUUUGAAGCAAUUAUAUUAAGAAAGCAAUUGGAGGAAAUUCACUAAUUUCAAGAGUGAAAUUCAAAUUACAAGAAGUCUGGGACUAAUUGCAAACUUUCGGAACUUAAGGAAGACCAAUUUUGAAUGACUAUGGACAUUCGUGGACAAACGUCUUUGGAGUUGUGGGAUUAAUAUUAAAGAUUUGGAUUGAAAACGAACAAAAUUCGUUCAAUAAAAGCUUGAAGCAGGGACCAAAAUGCAAAAAGAGAACAUUGGAGUAUUGCAAUUGCAGCUACCUGUGGUCACCUUAUAGGGACUAGCCGUGGUCCGAUCGCAUUAUGCAAGCCGCAGUCCCCUCGUCUAUAUAAUUGUUUUCGGCUAUUAUUUUAUUUGCGGGUAUUUUGAUCCUUUCAUGCACUCGGUUUUCAAGGCAAAUUAGACGCUAUAUAAAGACUUAGUUUAGGUCAAAUCAAGGGAGAAAAUGAAAGAGAAUACACGGAGAAAGAAUAUAGAACAAAAUAGAAAAUCGAAGGUAAAGAUUUCAAGAUUUUGAUGUGAUUAAGAAAAAUUCUUGGUGUAAUUUUUCAUAUUUUUUACUUUUAUAAUGGUGAUUUUUUUUCAUACAUUUUGGUGUUUAAUUUCAAUUUUCAAGUUCUGCUUAGUUAAUUUUAUGUAUUGAUUUUACGAUCACUGAACUUAGUUAAUUUAUGAAUAUAACAAACCGAGAGAUGGUUAUAAAUUUAAACCAUAUGGUAAGAUUCAAUAAUUGGGUAAAAGCAAUUUACACAUUUACUAAUUUUGCAAUCUUCAGUCGAAAUCUUAGAUUGAUUUAAUGCGUUUAGUUGAGACUUAUUCAGAUUUAAAUAGAUAUUUAGUAAGUUGACUCAAUUAGGUAAGAUUGAUUUCAACUCAAGAUAUUGAUUUAAUUAGUGAAUUCAAUCUAGUAUACAACUAUAAGAACUAAACUCAUGAGAUAAGAUAUAGAAUGAUAAUUAUAUAUUGUGAAAUUGCACAAGCUUCAACAAUCAUAUUUAAUAGCUUAAUCAAAGUUAUCCAUAAUCUAUAAAAAAAAAAAAACAAAUAUGUUCAAUUGCUUCUAUAUUUCUUAAUUAAUAUUAGUUCAAUCAAAACUUUCCCUGAAUUUUUCACCAUAUUGGAGAAAUUAAUAAAAUUAUGGAAAACGUUUGGAUAAAUUUUCAAUAGACAAAGAAUGCCUGUUGUUAAAUAAAUUAAUAAAAUUAUAAAAAACUGAAUAUUACUUAGAAGACAUUCACUAAAAAUUCGGAAUGAUUUUUUACUUAGUAAAACGAAAUUAUAAAUAAUUAUAUAAAUUUGAUUUGCCAACGAAAAUUUCUUCAGUAGAUAAAUUAAUAAAAAUACUGAAUGACAAUGUUAUCGCAACAUGAACAAUUUAUAGUAUCAAUUCCAAUCAAUACAUUCACAUUUGACUAAGAGGAAUAAGAAAUGACGAAUUCACACAAACAUAAAAUUAAUCACACAACAUCGAUGAAACAGCGAACCAUUCCACCACAAAUUUCCUAGAAUCUUGAACGCUUGCAUUCUUCAGAGAAGCCUUGAGGAAACCUUUGAACAUCAGCACAGUAGUUAUAGACCAUGUGGUGCUGCUGUACCCAACGGAGCCUAUUUCUUCCCUUUGCAUCAAGUUGUUGAGUUUGCCAUGCUCCGGAAUUGGCACAAGAUCUACCAGAUGUUCCGGAUACACAGCCAUUGGCAUUAAAGUUUCUGUAGUAUACAGUGAAAGGCGCUUUUGUCCAGUCUGUCUUCACUCGCCCGCCUUGUGUUGCCCAGUCAUCUGCAUUCCAUAAGGUGCAGUACACUCUCAUGGGUUGGACCUUAGGAAACGGAAUGCCAAUUGCCUCGUGAUUGUUGAAUACUCUAAUAGGACUAUUGUCCACCAAGAAACUGAAUUUCACCAAUAGAAUUAGUAAUGCUUUGCAGAUAAGUUAAGGAUAAAUGAAAAUAAGAUUCGAGGGAUUUUUAUUUACAUGAUGCGUCGAGGAUUCCACACAAUUGAGUAGGUGUGGAAAGCUGCUGUCGGAUCGAACCAGAGAUGGAACUGUUGUUCCUUAUUUCCUUUCCCUUGGGAAUACACAUUGGUAUGAACAGUGUAUGGCUGUC